AAUAAAAAUGGUCUGUAAUGGCAAAUGCAUAAUUGGGGGUUGCUAUUUUGCAUGUCUUGUCUUUUUACUUACUUUUCUGAUCGUUCUUUGAUUGUCUUUUCUAAAGCUAUCAGCCGGUGACAUUUUGGAAAUUAAAAAAAAAAAAAAAAGAAAAAGAAAAAGAAAUCCAGACUGGUUCUUUACCAUGGAUUGUUUCAGAAGCAAUGAUCCUCAGUCCUAUGUCUUGCUGGCUUAAGUAAGCUUAAGAAAAUGUCAAUAGGAUAGAACCAGAGUUAGGAGCCAGUGUGUAUUUCGGUGCCCUGUUGUCUCGAUUGUUUCAAACAGGUGAUUUGUAUUUCUGAAAAGCUCCAAUUGAACGAGAGCCAUCUUGAGAAAGCCCCUUUCUACCAAGGAAUGCCCGAGAACGAUUCUUUACGCUGUCUCUACCCAGUCCUCUCUGUCGCUUCAGCCUUGGCGUCUCCAGUGGAUCUCAGAGGCAAGAAUUUACUGCAGGGAAAUACCAAGCAAUGUCUGAACUUUGAGCUGGGGAAAAGUGUUUUAUUUGAGCAGGUGCUGAGAGGACUCACAAGCCAGAGGAGACCCCGCUCCGAGGCCUGCUGCCCGCACCCGUCUUCAGGCUCCAGAACAUUCAGAGUAACAAAGGCAAAGUGAGGAAGCCCAGCCUGCCUGCUGGUGGGGGGGCCAUGGCUCUGCUUCCCUUUUUCUCUUUUCUUUCACACCCCCUCUGAAGAGCGGCAGAGGCUGGGAGAGCCACCGGCUGCACCAGAUCGAGGAGGUCACCAGGGAGGGCCCAUCCCUGGAGCAGAUCAAGCUCAAGAGAGGAGCCUGGGUGAGGGGGACAGGAGGCGACAGCCAGACGGUGAGAGCCGCUGGGCCGAUGAAGGCGGGGCUGGUCCGGGGGCCAAACUCUGAAGUCAAGCUUAUUCGGGGCCCUCACUUUUCUCAAGUGCCCCAGUGUUCCCAAGAUGGCUUCCACUGGCCUGCCCUCUGGAUCCAGACCUUUCUCUCUCAUUCUCUGCCUUCAAAAGAUACCUGUUCUGAGGUAAACUUCACCUGUUUUUGCCCUUUCUCCUUCUCAGCUUCUGCCUCUUUCUCUGAAAAAAAAAAAAAAAAAAAAAAAUCUGUGCUGAGGAUUUAGCGAGUGAUAACGAAUUAAUUAGUAAACUUUCUCAAAUAAAAUAUUUACAUUUUUGAAAGGAGCCAAAGCAAAGGUAGAAUUUCAAAGGAAGCUCCUAAAAUUGCCUUCCGGCCACCCGUGUGUCCCCCAGGUAAGUCCUGGCCCUGUGCCCCUCUUGUUUAUAAGUGUCCUCGUGUCUUCCCCUCAGGAUCUUUUAAGGGACCACAAUAAUUUGAGCUGCAGAAACUAUAAAUUGUCUUUGUAUACGUUUAUGUGAUAUUUGCUAAUGCAAAUAGCACAUGGGAGCGGAAUUGUAAACUUAUAAGUAACCUUAAGCUUAUCUUUUUAGUAACUCUAAGCUGAUAUUAACACAUAUGUUAUAAAAUACGUAAAUAUAUUAUAAAUAUUAUGAAAUAUUAUAAAGAUCUUAUCUAUCUCUCUAUCUAGUAGUAUGGAUCCCUGAUUCACAUUCUCUGAAGUAUACAGUUAGGAGUUCAUUGGGAACAGGAGGAAAGAAACACACAAAGGGAAAGAAGUCGUGGAUGGUGGCGUGUUACUAAAAAAGUCUCCCGGACCCGAGUUUGAGGGCAUGAGUUGGUCAUUUGCUCUUACUUAAUGUGGAUGGGUUGCUCGACAAAGCCCUUAAAGACUGUUUCCUUUCUCCUAGUCACCAUUAUUCCCUUGACAUCAGCCACCAUAAUUGCGGGGGGUUUUUCCCGUCAAGACGUGAACCCAGUAAUUGAGAACACGCUGGCCGAAGCUUGUUUCUCUCCUACAACAGUGGGAAGCGCUUUCACAUGGGUUAAAAUUAACUAAAAAUAUCGCUCCUCUGCCACAUCCCCACCCUCAGGCCCCUGGAAGGAGAGUCUGUAAGCUCUUUUUAGAUUUCCCCAGAGGUUGGGAGUGGGCCAGUCACUUCAAGGGGGAGAAGAAGUUCGCCAAUAAUUGAUGGUGCUUGCUUUAUAAUAAUUAUCGUAACAUUUCAUAAAUAACAUCAUAUAAGUAUCGUAUCAAACAAUGUCAAAUGAUGAGGUCGAGUAAUAAAUAGAAUACAUUUGUAUGAACAUAAGAAAGAGUCAUUGAACCGUAGGAGGCUGAGUUUUACGAUCGUCAUUCUGCCCUUCCUGCCCUGUCUCCACAUACAAUGGACCCAUCACCAUGACAUCAAGUCAGUGGGGACCCCCACUCUAUGCCUGGCGCCCUGAAGCUCCCAUGUUGAUGACCCCCAGAGAAGGUCUGAAGGUCUGAAGGUCUUUUCUUCGCAAAGGAAUUUGCCACCUGUUUGUGACGGUCUCUGAAUUCUGUCGGGCGGCUUCUUCAUCAAAAGCACGCGUGGUUCCUCAUUAGCCUGGGUUGCCUCUCUAAAGAUAUUCCUGAUUAAAAUCACACUUGUGCCAUGCACUGUGUAAAGAUACAAAAAUAGAAGAUGACAUUUUGGAAGUGUGUAGUGGGGACGGUUGCACAACGUCGCGAAUGGAAUUAAUGCCGCUGCGUGAUAGAUUUUAAAAUGGCUAAACUGGAAAUGUUUGUUACGUGGAUUCUACUGCAAUAAUACAAAUGUUUUACCAAAAAAAAAAACCACAACCCCAAACAACCACACUGAGUAAGAUAGUCCUGGUCCUCGGGUUCCUCAUGGUCUAGUUGGGAGGACCAAAACGUGCAAACAAAGGUGUGAUUGGUGAGAAGGUAGGAUAUAAAAAGGGAGGCAAAGGAGGAGGCUGUGAAUGAAAUGUAACCUUUUAUUUGCUUUUGUGUGUUCUGUGUUUUAGUGGCGGUGUUAGGGGAGCCCGCUAGACCCGAGGCUUCCGUGAUGAGCAAUGCUACUCCAGAAGCCAAAGGCGUAGGCUCCCCUCAAAUGCUGGAUUCUGCAACAACGCGGGUCCUAACAUUGGACCCGCGGGAGAAACUGUGCCUAGUGGAGUCCUAAGUCCAGUUGUCCUCUCCACUGUCAUUAACUCCUCCUACCCAGGGCCCGGAAAGGGUGAGACCGGAGAGGCACGUAGGGUGUGAAAUUGAAGGAGCCACUUAUGCUCAUGGUCAAGUGCCGACAUGGGAAGCAGCGACCUCCGUAACAUGUCCACAUGUCCACAGACCCAUGGAUCUUGCACAUCUUUGCAUCUCCUAAGACCAAUAUCAAGUGGAGCACAGAGACAGCACGCAGCAAAUGGCAGCAUGCUUUGGCAAGCAUUUCAAAAAUAAAUGAAUUUAUUUAUUCCACCACAUCCCCUAGGGACGAGCUCUUCA
Leopardus geoffroyi (Geoffroy's cat) is the source of this 3361-nucleotide long non-coding RNA. RefSeq lists it as uncharacterized. Lineage: Eukaryota; Metazoa; Chordata; Mammalia; Carnivora; Felidae. The transcript is spliced from 2 exons. The record is from RefSeq and is a predicted model, not a curated record.